CCUACGGGAGGCAGCAGUGAGGAAUAUUGGUCAAUGGACGAAAGUCUGAACCAGCCAAGUAGCGUGAAGGAUGACUGCCCUAUGGGUUGUAAACUUCUUUUAUAUGGGAAUAAAAUGUUCCACGUGUGGGAUUUUGUCUGUACCAUAUGAAUAAAGAUCGGCUAACUCCGUGCCAGCAGCCGCGGUAAUACGGAGGAUCCGAGCGUUAUCCGGAUUUAUUGGGGUUAAAGGGAGCGUAGGUGGAUGGUUAAGCCAGGUGUGAAAGUUUGCGGCUCAACCGUAAAAUUGCAGUUGAGACUGGCAGUCUUGAGUACAGUAGAGGUGGGCGGAAUGCGUGGUGUAGCGGUGAAAUGCUUAGAUAUCACGAAGAACUCCGAUUGCGAAGGCAGCUUACUGGACUGCAACUGACACUGAGGCUCGAAAGUGUGGGUAUCAAACAGGAUUAGAUACCCUUGUAGUC
RNAcentral lists this ribosomal RNA (460 nucleotides) under uncultured bacterium. RNAcentral describes it as "partial 16S ribosomal RNA". It matches the Rfam family "Bacterial small subunit ribosomal RNA", at positions 338 to 795 of the family's 1533-position model. The record is from RNAcentral.